RNAcentral lists this ribosomal RNA (3196 nucleotides) under Prauserella isguenensis. Its description in RNAcentral is "Bacterial large subunit ribosomal RNA". It matches the Rfam family "Bacterial large subunit ribosomal RNA". The record is from Rfam by way of RNAcentral. Lineage: Bacteria; Bacillati; Actinomycetota; Actinomycetes; Pseudonocardiales; Pseudonocardiaceae.
GGUCAAGUUAUGUAGGGCACAUGGUGGAUGUCUGGGCACUAGGGGCCGAUGAAGGACGUGGGAGGCUGCGAUAAGCCUCGGGGAGUUGUCAACCGAGCUGUGAUCCGAGGAUGUCCGAAUGGGGAAACCCGGCACCCGUGAUGGGGUGUCACCCGCCGGUGAAUAUAUAGCUGGUGUGGAGGGAACGCGGGGAAGUGAAACAUCUCAGUACCCGUAGGAAGAGAAAACACUAGUGAUUCCGUGAGUAGUGGCGAGCGAAAGCGGAGGAGGCUAAACCGUAUGCGUGUCAAGUUGUCAGGCGUUGCGUGUGCGGGGUUGUGAGACCUGCCGUCCAGGGACUGACAUUCCUGGGGAUGGUUUGCAUGGUUAGUGGAACACGUUGGGAUGCGUGGCCGUAGUGGGUGAGAGUCCCGUACGCGAAAACUGUGUGGAAUUGUCUUGGUGGUGUUCUCGAGUAGCAGCGUUUCCGUGGAGGGCGCUGUGAAUCUGCCGGGACCACUCGGUAAGCCUAAAUACUUCCUGGUGACCGAUAGCGGACGAGUACCGUGAGGGAAAGAUGAAAAGUACCCCGGGAGGGGAGUGAAAGAGUACCUGAAACCGUGUGCCUGCAAGCCGUCAGAGCAGCUGCCUUGUGUGGUUGUGAUGGCGUGCCUUUUGAAGAAUGAGCCUGCGAGUUCGUGCUGCGUGGCGAGGUUAACCCGUGUGGGGUAGCCGUAGCGAAAGCGAGUCUGAAGAGGGCGUGUGAGUUGCGUGGUCGAGACCCGAAGCGGAGUGAUCUACCCAUGGCCAGGCUGAAGCGCCGGUAAGACGGUGUGGAGGGCCGAACCCACUUAGGUUGAAAACUGAGGGGAUGAGCUGUGGGUAGGGGUGAAAGGCCAAUCAAACUUCGUGAUAGCUGGUUCUCCCCGAAAUGCAUUUAGGUGCAGCGUCACAUGUUUCACUGUGGGGGUAGAGCUACUGGGUGGCUGAUGGGCCUGAUCGGGUUACUGACGUCAACCAAACUCCGAAUACCAUGGUGUGAGAGUGUGGCAGUGAGACNNNNNNNNNNNNNNNNNNNNNNNNNNNNNNNNNNNNNNNNNNNNNNNNNNNNNNNNNNNNNNNNNNNNNNNNNNNNNNNNNNNNNNNNNNNNNNNNNGCAGCGGGGGAUAAGCUUCGUUGUCGAGAGGGAAACAGCCCAGAACUCCGGCUAAGGCCCCUAAGUGUGUGCUUAGUGGAAAAGGAUGUGGAAUUGCUGAGACAACCAGGAGGUUGGCUUAGAAGCAGCCAUCCUUGAAAGAGUGCGUAAUAGCUCACUGGUCAAGUGGUUCUGCGCCGAUAAUGUAGCGGGGCUGAAGUACACCGCCGAAGCCGAGUCACUGCAACAACUGCUAACGCGGGUUGUGGUGGGUAGGGGAGCGUCCUGGGCCCGGUGAAGCCGUGACGGAAGUUAACGGUGGAGGGUGUGGGAGUGAGAAUGCAGGCAUGAGUAGCGAAUGUACAGUGAGAAUCUGUACCGCCGGAUGACCAAGGGUUCCUGGGCCAGGUUGUUCCGCCCAGGGUAAGUCGGGACCUAAGGCGAGGCCGUCAGGCGUAGUCGAUGGAGAACGGGUUGAUAUUCCCGUACCCGCGUGUGUGCGUCCAUGGUGAGGCGUCGGAUACUAACCACCCGAAGCCGCGUCGCAUCCUUCGGGGUGUGGUGUGUGUGGAGCGUGGGACCUGAUGGCGUAGUAGUCAAGUGAUGGGGUGACGCAGGAAGGUAGCUCCGCCAGUGAGUGGUAGUACUGGUGUAAGCGUGUGGCCCGCAGAAUAGGCAAAUCCGUUCUGCUUGUGGGUGAGGCGUGAUGCGUAGCCGUUGUGGUGAAGUAGAGUGAUCCUAUGCUGUCGAGAAAAGCCUCUAGCGAGUGCGUGCGUGGCCCGUACCCGAAACCGACACAGGUGGUCAGGUAGAGAAUACUAAGGCGAUCGGGUGAACUGUGGUUAAGGAACUCGGCAAAUUGCCCCCGUAACUUCGGGAGAAGGGGGGCCAGCCAUCUUGAAACCCUUUGCGGGUUAGGGGUGGCGGGCCGCAGAGACCAGCGGAAAGCGACUGUUUACUAAAAACACAGGUCCAUGCGAAGACGCAAGUCGAGGUAUAUGGACUGACGCCUGCCCGGUGCUGGAACGUUAAGAGGACCGGUUAACCCUUCGGGGUGAAGCUGAGAAUUUAAGCGCCAGUAAACGGCGGUGGUAACUAUAACCAUCCUAAGGUAGCGAAAUUCCUUGUCGGGUAAGUUCCGACCUGCACGAAUGGCGUAACGACUUUCCGGCUGUCUCAACCACAGGCCCGGCGAAAUUGCACUACGAGUAAAGAUGCUCGUUUCGCGCGGCAGGACGGAAAGACCCCGGGACCUUUACUAUAGCUUGGUAUUGGUUUUCGGUUCGGCUUGUGUAGGAUAGGUGGGAGACUGUGAAGCUGACACGCUAGUGUUGGUGGAGUCGUUGUUGAAAUACCACUCUGGUCGUGCUGGGAAUCUAACUUCGGACCAUGAUCUGGUUCAGGGACAGUGCCUGGUGGGUAGUUUAACUGGGGCGGUUGCCUCCCAAAGGGUAACGGAGGCGCCCAAAGGUUCCCUCAGCUUGGUUGGUAAUCAGGUGUUGAGUGUAAGUGCACAAGGGAGCUUGACUGUGAGACUGACGGGUCGAGCAGGGACGAAAGUCGGGACUAGUGAUCCGGCACCUCCUGGUGGAAGGGGUGUCGCUCAACGGAUAAAAGGUACCCCGGGGAUAACAGGCUGAUCUUGCCCAAGAGUCCAUAUCGACGGCAUGGUUUGGCACCUCGAUGUCGGCUCGUCGCAUCCUGGGGCUGGAGUUGGUCCCAAGGGUUGGGCUGUUCGCCCAUUAAAGCGGCACGCGAGCUGGGUUUAGAACGUCGUGAGACAGUUCGGUCCCUAUCCGCCGCGCGCGUAGGAGACUUGCGGAAGGCUGUCCCUAGUACGAGAGGACCGGGACGGACGAACCUCUGGUAUGCCAGUUGUCCCGCCAGGGGCAUGGCUGGUUGGCUACGUUCGGAAGGGAUAACCGCUGAAGGCAUCUAAGCGGGAAGCCUGUUCCUAGAUGAGGUCUCCCACCCUUUGUGGGUUAAGGCCCCCAGUAGAUGACUGGGUUGAUAGGCCAGACAUGGAAGCGCAGUAAUGUGUGUUUGAGUGGACUGGUACUAAUCGGCCGAGGACUUGCCUAC